AGCGUAGACGGAAUGGCAAGUCUGAUGUGAAAGGCCGGGGCUCAACCCCGGGACUGCAUUGGAAACUGUCAAUCUAGAGUACCGGAGGGGUAAGUGGAAUUCCUAGUGUAGCGGUGAAAUGCGUAGAUAUUAGGAGGAACACCAGUGGCGAAGGCGGCUUACUGGACGGUAACUGACGUUGAGGCCCGAAAGCGUGGGGAGCAAACA
Molecule: ribosomal RNA, 207 nt
Filed under: uncultured bacterium
Lineage: Bacteria
Description: partial 16S ribosomal RNA
Rfam family: Bacterial small subunit ribosomal RNA
Source: RNAcentral